Molecule: transfer RNA, 84 nt
Filed under: Tidjanibacter sp.
Lineage: Bacteria; Pseudomonadati; Bacteroidota; Bacteroidia; Bacteroidales; Rikenellaceae
Description: tRNA-Leu
Rfam family: tRNA
About the family: Transfer RNA (tRNA) molecules are approximately 80 nucleotides in length.
Source: RNAcentral
GCCCAGAUGGCGGAAUCGGUAGACGCGUUGGUCUCAAACACCAAUAGGUUAACCCCUGUGCCGGUUCGACCCCGGCUCUGGGUA